RNAcentral lists this transfer RNA (89 nucleotides) under Serratia ureilytica. RNAcentral describes it as "tRNA-Met". It matches the Rfam family "tRNA". From Rfam's summary of the family: Transfer RNA (tRNA) molecules are approximately 80 nucleotides in length. The record is from RNAcentral. Lineage: Bacteria; Pseudomonadati; Pseudomonadota; Gammaproteobacteria; Enterobacterales; Yersiniaceae.
GGUGUGGUGUAGCUCAGCCAGGUAGAGCGUGGAAAGCGUUCAUAGCGUAUCCGGUACGCGCUGGUUCAAUUCCAGCCACCACACCACCA